This is a long non-coding RNA of Hyla sarda, 1200 nucleotides long. RefSeq lists it as uncharacterized. The record is from RefSeq and is a predicted model, not a curated record. The transcript has 3 exons. NCBI's taxonomy places the organism in Eukaryota, Metazoa, Chordata, Amphibia, Anura, Hylidae.
GGUCUAAAGAGGUGCCCCUUUAAACAUCUAUAAGAAGACCUUCCAUGUUUAGAUAUUUUCACUGACAACUCCUGGUUCACCAAAAUACUUUAAUUGUAAAGCAUGUAUUCCAAAUUGUAACAGUACGUCAGACCCUAACAAAAGCAGUGGCAUCAACAAGUACCCAAGUCCUCUUCCUCUGGUCAAGCAGCUGUGGUACCAUAUAGAACCUCCAUUGGUUACUUCCCAGCCUUUUAGUCCAUACUUGAUACCACUAUCUUAAUUGGAAGAAAAUAUUGAGGGUUCACCAGUAAAUAUGGAACACAACUGAUGUUGGCAACUAACAAAAUUCUUUCAGGUAAACGAUGGUCCAACACUUCUAAAGAAAACAACACUUAGAGAAUGAAUAAAGUAGUGGCAGUCACGUCUUGGUAUCAAAUGUCCAUCUCAUUUUAUAUGGAACCAAACUGGCUACAGGUCGUAUACAAGGGAGCGGACAGACAGGACAAUAGGCAUUUCACAGCCUUCUGCUGCUACAACUGGUCUUAAGGUAACGCAGAAAAAGAUGGACAGAUGAAUGAGACAUGUGACAUUAUGAGUGGACGCAAAAAGAUGUUAGGGUCUUUUUAUACCCCAUUUAUAGGAACCUACUGGAGUCCAGGGACACCGUGGCCUUUACAGUAGAAAUGAAGGUCUAUGAUGUGAAGAAGCUAAGAACUGCUAUCUUCCUUUAUCACCUCUACAGCUUACGGUACCCGACCACAAAGGAAAACUUGGCAUAGAGAAGGCCCAUGUGAUUGCCGGGCAUGCUUACAGAAACAUACAAAGGCUAAGAAAUGGACUGGCGACCUUGCUGAUUUACUCACAACAAAAGGACAAGGAAAAUACUUUGGGGAAAAACAAAGCAGUAAACAAGUGGUUGGUUGAGAAAAAAAUAUAUAAAAAAAAUCCCAAAACACGAGGGAGGCUUCAGCCAAUAUGAAACCCACAGACUAAACAGCACUAACUAUAAUCAGAGCCCCAGCCACUAUUGUGUGACUGUCGGAGAAGUGUCUGAGAUGGUCUCCUGGUUUAUUGAUUGUUCCUUAAAAUCGAAAGAAAAUUAGCAUAGAAAAAAAGGACUCUGAGACUUAUAUAAAGGGCUCUUCACUUUGAACAAACCAUAUUUGUUAUAUGGGUCUUAUAACAAUAAGCUGAUCAGAAACAAUAAAUAAAUAAAUA